Macaca mulatta (Rhesus monkey) is the source of this 3080-nucleotide non-coding RNA. The record is from RefSeq and is a predicted model, not a curated record. Lineage: Eukaryota; Metazoa; Chordata; Mammalia; Primates; Cercopithecidae.
AGAUGGGAGUAGAUAUUCUUUUUGCAUUUUACUAUGGAUAUAAAUGUAUACAUUGUACCCAUUUAAUCAAAUACUUGACUGAUUGGAUGCCUGCAUCAAACGCAGACAUGACUCCCCACAAAAUGGGCUUCAUAUGAGCCUAUGUGGCAAAGAUUAGGGUUCCUGGGAAGCAGAUUCUGAGAUGAAAUUAAGAGCUCAUUAUGUUAAUUAAGGUGCAUCCUUGGAAUCAACACCUCUCGAGGUAGGGGAAGGAAGCAGACAGGGCAGAGAAAGAAGCUGCGCUUCCAUGGAGACCCAUCACAACUGCAGUGAAUCUCAUAGAGAUUUCUAGAGCUCGAAUGACCCUUCAGCAUUUUCUCAAGAUGAGUGGUAGUGAACAGGCCCUUACACUCCCUCCUUGAUCAGUUUUUGGAUGUGGGCUGCCUGUAAAGGGGUGUGUCCUCGGGCAAGGCUGCUCUCUGCAACAGAGGCAGUCCUUGGAAGGGCAGCCAGCUUAUGGCCAUCUGCCUACAGCUGAAGAGCAACAGGUUCUUCAGUGAAGGAAGGUCUGGCCAGUGCAGCACCAGGCUCAUUCAUAUUAGGUAACUCCAGGUAAAUGUAAGUGCAUUUCUUAGAGAUGGGAUGAGGUACUUUGAAGUACCUCAUUGAGUUUAAAGGCAAAGGUAUUGAUACCUACAGUUAUAUUCACUAGUUCUGGUUGAGUUCAAUUACACUGAAUUUGAGAUGGCAGUUUGAAAGUUUACUGUCAGUAACUACAAAAGAAGAAAAGACAAAAAAGCAGAGCAUUGUCUUUGCAAUUAUGCUGGGACACUUUCAGAGUAAGUCCCCAAGAUACAGGGUCCAAAAAAAUACUGAUAUGGUACUCAUUUGUGAUUCUAUGUAUUCUCUUUCCAAGAGAACUUCAGCUGCAUGUUGGAUGGAAAACAAUAUGAAACAAGGGAGACAGAGACAGAGGAGAAACACAGUUUGUUAAUAUUCUGUGCUAGAUUCUGCAGAGGAAUCACUUUAUUUUGCAGAUGUAACUAGCUUAAGUAGAGCUAAAAGUUAUGUAGCUAGAAAGCUGACUUACACCCUUAAAGCUAAUGAAGAGAAAUGCAGGUUUCCCAGGGUAGGUUCUUGGCACUUCUUUGCAAAUAGGUAAAAGGGAAUGGCAGAUAUUCAAGCUCAGGGAGCAAGCAGCAAGGACAGAGCCUUCCCCCCUCUCAGUGUGUUGAAGUCAGCAGAUAGCACACCUGCUGCUGCGUGAGUUCCUUCUGCCAAGCAGAGCAGCACAGCUGCAAGACGCUCUGCUUCUGGCUCUGAGCUUUGCCUGUCUUCAGGGAUGAGGCCCCUCCCAAGGCAAGUUCAACUGGGUUCUUUGGCAGCCGAAGUCUACAUGGACCCUGCAGGGAGCGGUGGAGAAAAGUAUAUUGAUCAUGAGGAGAGGGUUCGCCCCUCACGGGAGAAGUAGUUAGGAAGGCAAUAUGUGGAAACAAAGCCAUGAAUCUGACAUGAAAUGUGCUUAAGAUUGUAUACAUGGAGAUGAAUAUCCAUUGUCCUUUGCACUUUCUGGAUGAUAAAUUAGAAAGGAAGAAUCCAAAGAAUGAAGUUGUGCUAUUUGUCUUCAUUUCUGAUCUGGGAAACUAGAAGAAAUUAAGAUGGUGCCCACUUUGAUGACUUGUUGUACUAGCGCCUUUGAUCUCCAUCAUAGAAAAUGCUCUGCUCCAUUUCAAAAGAGAUUGUCAUAUACGCCAUUUGCCAUUCACUGUUCUUUGGAUCAAACCAACAGCAGACCUCACAGAUAGAAUUCCACCGCUGGCCAUUCACAAAGAGCAAAACAAGCCUUAUGAAGCAGCCAAUGAACUUCAUCUUGCCAAACCCAGUGGACUCACCACAAUCUCUAUAGAGGUGACAUCAAUUCUUUAUUGGACAUGGAAGCAUAUUCCCUUCUUCUGAAAGUCUCACCUCUCUUGAGUUUCUCAAUAUGAUUAUUUCCUUUAUUUACUCUACUUCUCUGAAUUGCAUUUCCUGGUUUCCUUCUCCAUUUUCAUUUUUCUCCAAAACCCCCUUGGGUUAACAUCCACCGUGGUUCCCUUCUCAGUAUUUAUGUUUUUUAUGUGAGCUCUUAGUCAAUAUCCCAUGUUUAACUAUCUCCUAAAUAUGGUCAUUCCUAAAUCUUUACUUCCUACCUGAAAUUUUCACCAAUUUUCUCAUUAGUGGUAUCUUAUGGAUAUUAAUUCAUCCAUCCAUCUAUCCAUACACCCAUUUAUUUAUUUAAUAUUUUUUGCAUACCAACAGAAUGCUUGCCACUAUUCUAGGCACUUGUCAUACAACAAUAACAAACAGACAAUAAUAUCUGUACUCGGAGAUUUUAUACUCUAGUUUGGCACAAUAGCCAAUAAACAAACAGUAGGGGGAAAUAAUAUUUUUCAGUCAACAACUCUAAAAACAGCUAUCUUUCUCUUUUAUACCUGUGAUUUCUCGCUUAACAGCAAUAGCCAUAAGUGGUAUGAUUAUCUGUCAAUCAGCUUUUUCAUGCUAGCGUGAUCAGAAUCAACCUCAAUUCCUCUUUCCACUUUUACAAGUAUUCAAAGGCAGUAUUGUCUGGUGGUUAAGAGUCUGAGCUAUCCCAUUCCACAGACCUUUGUUCAACUUUUGUCACCGCAAGUUAUGUGAUUUACAUCUAGUUAAUCUCUUUAAGCCUGUUAUGGUGUCAAAAAAAUUCUACCUGACAGGAUUGUAUGAGUGUAAAUGAGAUAAUAUAUGAUUAUUAUCCUGUCUCAUAUUUAGUACUCAAUGAAUGGUAGAUAUUAUUCUUUUAUUUUCAUCAUUUAUCCAAUUGACCCAUGUGUCUCACAGAUUCUAUUUUCUAAAUCGGCACUGUCCAAAAUGGCAGUCACUAACAUGUGGUCAUUGAGCAUUUGAAAUGUGGCUAGCCAAAACUGAGAUGUGCUCUAAGUUUAAAGUAUACACUGGAUUUUGAAAACUUAGUACCUAAAAAGGAUGUACAAUAUCUCACUGAUGAUUUUUGUAUCAAUUACAUGUUACAAGGACAGUAUUUUUUAUCUAUUAGGUUAAAUAAAAUGCAUUAUUAAAAUUAA